This 253-nucleotide ribosomal RNA is filed under the name uncultured bacterium. RNAcentral describes it as "partial 16S ribosomal RNA". It matches the Rfam family "Bacterial small subunit ribosomal RNA", at positions 524 to 776 of the family's 1533-position model. The record is from RNAcentral.
UACGGGGGGGGCAAGCGUUGUUCGGAAUUACUGGGCGUAAAGGGCUCGUAGGUGGCCAACUAAGUCAGACGUGAAAUCCCUCGGCUUAACCGGGGAACUGCGUCUGAUACUGGAUGGCUUGAGUUUGGGAGAGGGAUGCGGGAUUCCAGGUGUAGCGGUGAAAUGCGUAGAUAUCUGGAGGAACACCGGUGGCGAAGGCGGCAUUCUGGACCGGCAUUGACGCUGAUGCGCGAAAGCCAGGGGAGCAAACGGG